Molecule: ribosomal RNA, 465 nt
Filed under: uncultured bacterium
Lineage: Bacteria
Description: partial 16S ribosomal RNA
Rfam family: Bacterial small subunit ribosomal RNA
Source: RNAcentral
GACGAACGCUGGCGGCGUGCUUAACACAUGCAAGUCGAACGGAAAGGCCCCUUUGGGGGUACUCGAGUGGCGAACGGGUGCGUAACACGUGAGUAACCUGCCCUUGACUUCGGGAUAACUUCAGGAAACUGGGGCUAAUACCGGAUAGGAAUCCUUGCUGCAUGGUGGGGGUUGGAAAGCUUCGGCGGUUUUGGAUGGACUCGCGGCUUAUCAGCUUGUUGGUGGGGUAGUGGCUUACCAAGGCUUUGACGGGUAGCCGGCCUGAGAGGGCGACCGGCCACAUUGGGACUGAGAUACGGCCCAGACGCCUACGGGAGGCAGCAGGGGGGAAGAUUGCACAAUGGGCGGAAGCCUGAUGCAGCAACGCCGCGUGCGGGAUGACGGCCUUCGGGUUGUAAACCGCUUUCAGCAGGGGCGAAGCUUGUGGUGACGGUACCUGCAGAAGAAGCACCGGCUAACUACGUG